AAUGCAAACGUCUACUUUCCCUUAGGAGUUCCGUAAGGAGGAAAAGGGACAGGGAGAUGGUCACCAUGUGUCUAACCUGGUGGGAAUGCAGGAGAGGAUUGGCAUGGGCGGCAUGUUCUGUAAAAACACAUUGGCUCCGGCUGCUUGAUGGUGCUAUUCAAACCUUGCGUAUCUUACUGAAUUUUUCUCUCCUGCUCUCUCAGUUACUAAAGGAGUGUUGAAUUCUCUGA
Rattus rattus (black rat) is the source of this 230-nucleotide long non-coding RNA. RefSeq lists it as uncharacterized. The record is from RefSeq and is a predicted model, not a curated record. The transcript is spliced from 2 exons. NCBI's taxonomy places the organism in Eukaryota, Metazoa, Chordata, Mammalia, Rodentia, Muridae.